GUGAAAUAUUAUCAGAUUAACAACAGAGGAUGAGAUGAUUCACUGUAACCCAACAACACACUUCAACAACAGAUGGACCUGGAACAGAGACAAGGAGAUAUAUACAGUAUAUAUAGACAUGAAGUUUUAAGAGACGGGGCAUCCUGCUACAGCUGGCACGCUGAUGAACAGAAGUGAUUUAGAUCAGACGGACAGGAGGAAAACAAGAGAGAGAGACCAGGGUAUCAGCGCCGGUCAAUGCAGAUGGCAUUUUAAGGCCAAAGCUUUUCCAAAAGUGUACAAUUAUGAUGCAUCAGAAUCACAGAAGAAUAUGAUAGACACUGGUAGCAGAUUGAAAUACGUCUGUGAUGCAGCACAAAAGUGUGGAAAUGUGUUGAAAGGCAGCUCUGCUCCGUCAGGAUUCAUGACAGGAUCAAUAUUCCACGCGGGUUGGUUGGUGAGCGAGCGGAAAAUCACCUGUUCAUGCUGGAUUUAUGAGUGUUGUCUCGAUCGCGCCUCUGUCUUGUCAAGUCUCACAGCAGCCGGUCAUCUGUGACACACCAAACAGGCCGGACAGCGAGAGAGAUGAGAGACAGAUACAUAAAUGAGGCCUUCCUAUCACUGCAGCAGCUCUGCAUUAUUAAACAUCCACUAAAUAUUAAUCUGCCUUUACACCACAGGCCAGAAACAUGCAGACUGAACCUGAACACACAAAGACAACACGGCUUUCUGCAACAUAUGUUUUAAACAAUUUGCAACACAUUUUUCUUACAUAAUCAGCAUACUUGUGUUGCAUUAUGAUUUGCAUAAAAUUGGAU
RNAcentral lists this long non-coding RNA (797 nucleotides) under Carassius auratus (goldfish). RNAcentral's name for it is "lncRNA (ENSCARG00000008331.1)". The record is from RNAcentral. Lineage: Eukaryota; Metazoa; Chordata; Actinopteri; Cypriniformes; Cyprinidae.